RNAcentral lists this ribosomal RNA (492 nucleotides) under uncultured bacterium. RNAcentral describes it as "partial 16S ribosomal RNA". It matches the Rfam family "Bacterial small subunit ribosomal RNA", at positions 30 to 507 of the family's 1533-position model. The record is from RNAcentral.
AUUGAACGCUGGCGGCAUGCUUUACACAUGCAAGUCGAACGGUAACAGGCCUUCGGGUGCUGACGAGUGGCGAACGGGUGAGUAAUGCAUCGGAACGUGCCCAGAGGUGGGGGAUAACGCAGCGAAAGCUGUGCUAAUACCGCAUGUGAUCUGAGGAUGAAAGCGGGGGUCCACGCAGCAAUGUUUGGCCUCGCGCCUCUGGAGCGGCCGAUGUCAGAUUAGGUAGUUGGUGGGGUAAAGGCCUACCAAGCCGACGAUCUGUAGCUGGUCUGAGAGGACGACCAGCCACACUGGGACUGAGACACGGCCCAGACUCCUACGGGAGGCAGCAGUGGGGAAUUUUGGACAAUGGGCGCAAGCCUGAUCCAGCAAUGCCGCGUGCGGGAAGAAGGCCUUCGGGUUGUAAACCGCUUUUGUACGGAACGAAAAGGCUCUGGCUAAUACCUGGGGCUGAUGACGGUACCGUAAGAAUAAGCACCGGCUAACUACGUG